Molecule: unclassified non-coding RNA, 253 nt
Filed under: uncultured bacterium
Lineage: Bacteria
Description: contains 16S-23S intergenic spacer region
Rfam family: Bacterial small subunit ribosomal RNA
Source: RNAcentral
UACGUAGGGGCCGAACGUUAUCCGGAAUUACUGGGCGUAAAGAGCGUGUAGGCGGUUCUCUAAGUCUAUGGUCAAAACCUGGGGCUUAACUCCAGAUCGGUCGUGGAAACUAGAGAACUUGAGGAACAAAGAGGUGGGCGGAAUUCCCGGUGUAGCGGUGAAAUGCGUAGAUAUCGGGAGGAACGUCAAUGGCGAAGGCAGCUCACUGGUUGUUUCCUGACGCUGAGACGCGAAAGCGUGGGGAGCGAACGGG